Molecule: non-coding RNA, 138 nt
Organism: Brachypodium distachyon (stiff brome)
Lineage: Eukaryota; Viridiplantae; Streptophyta; Magnoliopsida; Poales; Poaceae
Gene: MIR164C
Product: microRNA MIR164c
Exons: 1
Source: RefSeq, marked provisional
AUGAUUUGAGGAGAGGGGGCGAGCAAACCUUGCUGGAGAAGCAGGGCACGUGCUUGACCGGUCGGCCGGAGCCGGGUUGCAGCAUGUGCGCUCCUUCUCCAGCAUGGCUUCUCGCCCCGUCGACCGGCGUUCGGCAGG